Molecule: long non-coding RNA, 3948 nt
Filed under: Papio anubis (olive baboon)
Lineage: Eukaryota; Metazoa; Chordata; Mammalia; Primates; Cercopithecidae
Description: lncRNA (ENSPANG00000040346.1)
Source: RNAcentral
ACGGGCUCCACAGCCAUGCCCUCCUCCACUCCGGGGACCACCUGGAUCCUCACAGAGCCAACCACUACAGCCAUCACAACAGUGGUCACGGGCUCCACUGCCAUCCCUUCCUCCACCCCAGGGACUACUCAAAUCACCAAAGUGUUUCCCACCACAACUGCAACGACUGAAGCCACUGGCUCCCCGGCUAACCCCUCCUCCACCCCAGGGACCACCGGCUCCACAGCCACCUCCUCCUCCACUCCUGGAACCACCUGGAUCCUCACAGAGCCAACCACCACUGCCACCAUAACUGUGGCCACUGGCUCCAAGGCCACGCCCUCUUCCACUCCAGCAUCAACCUGGAUUCUUACAGAGCCGACCACUACAGCCAUCACAACAGUGGCCACAGGCUCCAUGGCCACGCCUUCCUCCACUCAGGGGACGACUGGGAGCCUCACAGAACCAACCAACACUGCCACCAUAACUGUGACCACCAGCUCCACAGCCAUGCCCUCCUCCACUCCAGGGAUGACCUCGAUCCUCACAGAGCCGACCACUACAGCCAUUACAACAGUGGCCACGGGCUCCACGGCCACAUCCCCCUUCACUCCAAGGACGGCCAGGAUCGUCACAGAGCCAACCACCACUGCCACCAUAACUGUGGCCACUGGCUCCACGGCCAUCCCCUCCUCCACUCCAGGGAUGACCUCGAUCCUCACAGAGCCGACCACUACAGCCAUCACAACAGUGGCCACGGGGUCCACGGCCACGCCCUCCUCCACUCCAGAGACGACCAGGAUCCUCACAGAGUCAACCACCACUGCCACCAUAACUGUGGCCACUGGCUCCACANNNNNNNNNNNNNNNNNNNNNNNNNNNNNNNNNNNNNNNNNNNNNNNNNNNNNNNNNNNNNNNNNNNNNNNNNNNNNNNNNNNNNNNNNNNNNNNNNNNNGCCAUCCCCUCCUCCACUCCAGGGAUGACCUCGAUCCUCACAGAGCCAACCACUACAGCCAUCACAACAGUGGCCACGGGUUCCACGGCCAUGCCUCCUACUCUGGGGACGACUGGGAUCCUCACAGAGCCCACCACUACAGCCAUCACAACAGUGGCCACGGGCUCGAUGGCCACGCCCACCUCCACUCCGGGGACGACCGGGAUCCUCACAGAGCCAACCACUACAACCAUCACAACAGUGGCCACGAGGUCCACUGCCACGCCUUCCUCCACUCUGGGGACAACCGGGAUCCUCACAGAGCCGACCACUACAGCCAUCACAACAGUGGCCACGGGCUCCACGGCCAUGCCCUCCUCCACUCUGGGGCCGACCAGGAUCCAGACAGAACCAGCCACCACUGCCACCAUAACUGUGGCCACCAGCUCCACAGCCAUGCCCUCCUCCACUCCAGCGUCGACCUGGAUCCUCACAGAGCCGACCACUACAGCCAUCACAACAGUGACCACGGGCUCCACGGCCACGCCCUCCUCCACUCAGGGGACGACCGGGAUCCUCACAGAGCCAACCACUACAACCGUCACAACAGUCGCCACGAAGUCCACGGCCACGCCCUCCUCCACUCCAGGGAAGACCUCAAUCCUCACAGAGCUGACCACUACAGCCAUCACAACAAUGGCCACGGGCUCCACGGCCACACCUUCCACUCCGGGGACGACCGGGAUCCUCACAGAGCCAACCACUACAACCAUCACAACAGUGGCCACGAGGUCCACGGCCAUGCCUUCCUCCACUCCGGGGACGACUGGGAUCCUCACAGAGCCGACCACUACAGCCAUCACAACAGUGGCCACGGGCUCCACAGCCAUGCCCUCCUCCACUCUGGGGACGACCAGGAUCCACACAGAACCAACCACCACUGCCACCAUAACUGUGGCCACCAGCUCCACAGCCAUGCCCUCCUCCACUCCAGCGUCGACCUGGAUCCUCACAGAGCCGACCACUACAGCCAUCACAACAGUGGCCACGGGCUCCACGGCCACGCCCUCCUCCACUCCGGGGACGACUGGGAUCCUCACAGAGCCAACCACCACUGCCACCAUAACUGUGGCCACUGGCUCCACGGCCAUCCCCUCCUCCACUCCAGGGAUGACCUCGAUCCUCACAGAGCCAACCACUACAGCCAUCACAACAGUGGCCACGGGUUCCACGGCCAUGCCUCCUACUCUGGGGACGACUGGGAUCCUCACAGAGCCCACCACUACAGCCAUCACAACAGUGGCCACGGGCUCGAUGGCCACGCCCACCUCCACUCCGGGGACGACCGGGAUCCUCACAGAGCCAACCACUACAACCAUCACAACAGUGGCCACGAGGUCCACUGCCACGCCUUCCUCCACUCUGGGGACAACCGGGAUCCUCACAGAGCCGACCACUACAGCCAUCACAACAGUGGCCACGGGCUCCACGGCCAUGCCCUCCUCCACUCUGGGGCCGACCAGGAUCCAGACAGAACCAGCCACCACUGCCACCAUAACUGUGGCCACCAGCUCCACAGCCAUGCCCUCCUCCACUCCAGCGUCGACCUGGAUCCUCACAGAGCCGACCACUACAGCCAUCACAACAGUGACCACGGGCUCCACGGCCACGCCCUCCUCCACUCAGGGGACGACCGGGAUCCUCACAGAGCCAACCACUACAACCGUCACAACAGUCGCCACGAAGUCCACGGCCACGCCCUCCUCCACUCCAGGGAAGACCUCAAUCCUCACAGAGCUGACCACUACAGCCAUCACAACAGUGGCCACGGGCUCCACGGCCACACCUUCCACUCCGGGGACGACUGGGAUCCUCACAGAGCCAACCACUACAACCAUCACAACAGUGGCCACGAGGUCCACGGCCAUGCCUUCCUCCACUCCGGGGACGACUGGGAUCCUCACAGAGCCGACCACUACAGCCAUCACAACAGUGGCCACGAGCUCCACAGCCAUGCCCUCCUCCACUCUGGGGACGACCAGGAUCCACACAGAACCAGCCACCACUGCUACCAUAACUGUGGCCACCAGCUCCACAGCCAUGCCCUCCUCCACUCCAGCGUCGACCUGGAUCCUCACAGAGCCGACCACUACAGCCAUCACAACAGUGGCCACAGGCUCCACAGCCCUGCCCUCCUCCACUCCGGGGACGACUGGAUUCCUCACAGAGCCAACCACCACUGCCACCAUAACUGUGGCCACUGGCUCCAUGGCCAUCCCCUCCUCCACUCCAGGGAUGACCUCGAUCCUCACAGAGCCGACCACUACAGCCAUCACAACAGUGACCACGGGCUCCACGGCCACGCCCUCCUCCACUCCAGGGAAGACCUCAAUCCUCACAGAGCUGACCACUACAGCCAUCACGACAGUGGCCACGGGCUCCACGGCCACAACUUCCACUCCGGGGACAACCAGGAUCCUCACAGAGCCGACCACUACAGCCAUCACAACAGUGGCCACGGGCUCCAGAGCCACACCCUCCUUCACUCCAGGGACGACCGGGAUCCUCACAGAGCCGACCACUACAACCAUUACAACAGUGGCCACCAGCUCCACGGCCACGCCCUCCUCCACUCUGGGGACGACCGGGAUCCUUACAGAGCCGACCACUACAGCUAUCACAACAGUGGCCACAGGCUCCACGGCCAUACCCUCCUCUACUCUGGGAACGACCGGGAUCUACACAGAACCAACCACCACUGCCACCAUAAGUGUGGCCACCAGCUCCACAGCCACGCCCUCCUCCACUCCGGCGUCAACUUGGUUCCUCACAGAGCCGACCACUACAGCCAUCACAACCAUGGCCUCGGGCUCCACAGCCACCCUGACCUCCACCCCGGGAACAACGUACCCUCCCAAAGUGUUGACCAUCACAGCCACCACACCCACAGCCACCAGCUCCAAAGCAACCCCCUCCUCCACUCCGGGGACGACCUGGAUCCUCACAGAGCUGACCACUCUAGCCACCCCGACUGA